ACCCCAGACAAUAGGGCGAGCGGGAGCAUUCCUCACACCCAUGGCGGCCGGCGAAUGAGCUUUGUCUCCAGCCGCUGCCUCCCUCCGUUUCGGGGGACAGUGGCUGCCGUGUCCCCCCCCUUCUCCCUGCUCCUUUGUCCCCGCGCUGCCUGCCAGGGGUGAGACAGGCAGCUUUCAAGGAAUGAAGCUGAACUGCAGGGUAAAGGAGCAUUUAUUCCCAGUGAGCAAAGAGAGGAAGCCUGAAAUUAAGGAUUUUCUCCAGCGAUAGCACUCCCCAGGUGGUAAACCCCACAUCUGUUUCCAGUAAACCUACUGGGAGUACAAAGCAAACAAAUGAAGAAACGUCAAGUGUGUGGUCUUCGGCUUUUCUGAACUUUUGCUGCGCCGCAUUCAAGUACAGUUUAGUGCGGCUGGAAAGAGAAAAGCUGACAAAGAGCAGAUGAGACCAAGAGGGAGACGGAGCUGUUUUAUCCUUCUUUUUUUGCAACAGACCAAGUUGGUAUUCCCCACCUGCUUAAG
RNAcentral lists this long non-coding RNA (519 nucleotides) under Calidris pugnax (ruff). RNAcentral's name for it is "lncRNA (ENSCPUG00000000603.1)". Lineage: Eukaryota; Metazoa; Chordata; Aves; Charadriiformes; Scolopacidae. The record is from RNAcentral.